Molecule: unclassified non-coding RNA, 140 nt
Filed under: soil metagenome
Description: partial internal transcribed spacer 1
Source: RNAcentral
CAGAGUUGCAAAACUCCACAACCAUCGUGAACGUACCUGAAAAGUCGUGCUUCGGCGGGAGGCUCCGCAGGGAGCGGACCGCCGAGAUCCAGACUCUUGCAUGUUAUUCGGCAUCUCUGAGUAUGCUUAUAAAUAAGUUA